CGGUAAGCCGCGAUGGCUCGGUAUAACAGCCACUGUUUAUUAAACUCUAGUUAUCUACUUGGAUAACUGUGGCAAUUCUAGAGCUAAUACAUGCACGCAGGCUCGGACCUUUUGGGAAGAGCGCAUUUAUUAGACCAAAACCAAUCGGGCUUCGGCCUGUGUUUUGGUGACUCUGAAUAACUAAGUCGAUCGCACAGUCUUAGUACUGGCGACGUAUUUUUCAAAUGUCUGCCUUAUCAACUUUCGAUGGUAGGUUAUACGCCUACCAUGGUUAUAACGGGUAACGGAGAAUUAGGGUUCGACUCCGGAGAGGGAGCCUGAGAAAUGGCUACCACAUCCAAGGAAGGCAGCAGGCGCGCAAAUUACCCAAUCCCAGAACGGGGAGGUAGUGACGAAAAAUAACGAGGUAAUCCACUUUGUGGCUUGCCAUCGGAAUGGGCACAAUAUAAAUCUUUUAACGAGGAUCUAUUAGAGGGCAAGUCUGGUGCCAGCAGCCGCGGUAAUUCCAGCUCUAAUAGUGUAUAUUACAAUUGUUGUGGUUAAAACGCCCGUAGUUGGAUCUUCGGUCUUGAAGCUCGGUAGCCCGUAAGGGUUUAACUGAGUCUUCUGGCCUCGAUUCUAGUUUUCUCCUGAUGCU
This 637-nucleotide ribosomal RNA is filed under the name Nematoda environmental sample. RNAcentral's name for it is "SSU rRNA". It matches the Rfam family "Eukaryotic small subunit ribosomal RNA", at positions 80 to 716 of the family's 1831-position model. Lineage: Eukaryota; Metazoa; Nematoda. The record is from RNAcentral.